RNAcentral lists this unclassified non-coding RNA (209 nucleotides) under Hevea brasiliensis (rubber tree). Lineage: Eukaryota; Viridiplantae; Streptophyta; Magnoliopsida; Malpighiales; Euphorbiaceae. The record is from RNAcentral.
GGCCAACCGAAUUAUAGAAAUGCACAAGAGAAGGCAAGGCUCUGCCAGGAAGAGAAAAGGGCCCAUUUCAGGAACCAAGGGCAUGGACAGGUUCCGCUCAGAAGAAGCCUUUUAUGUUAACCCAUUGCCAGAUUGUCUAUGUCAAAGAGAAUUGCCAAAUGGAAAUAUGACUUCCAUUUUCAGAUAGUUCAAUUGAAUAUCAAGUUAAA